This 253-nucleotide ribosomal RNA is filed under the name uncultured bacterium. Its description in RNAcentral is "partial 16S ribosomal RNA". It matches the Rfam family "Bacterial small subunit ribosomal RNA", at positions 524 to 776 of the family's 1533-position model. The record is from RNAcentral.
GACGGAGGGGGCUAGCGUUGUUCGGAAUGACUGGGCGUAAAGGGCGUGUAGGCGGUUGAUCAAGUCAAGCGUGAAAGCCCCGGGCUUAACCCGGGAACUGCGUUUGAUACUGUUCGACUUGAGGACGAGAGAGGAAAGUGGAAUUCCGAGUGUAGAGGUGAAAUUCGUAGAUAUUCGGAGGAACAUCAGAGGCGAAGGCGGCUUUCUGGCUCGUUACUGACGCUGAGGCGCGAAAGCGUGGGGAGCAAACAGG